GGAAUCGAUUGAGAACAAUCGCUUAAUGAUUAAUUUCCAAUAUGCAAGUGGAAACUCGGCGCUCCAAUCCGUUGGGGUUUUCUAAUUUUAUUCGAAAAAUUACGUGAUCGUCAUUUUUUGGACGAUUACCAGCCUGCUGGUCCACAUUCCACUUGAGGCUUUUGCUGACUCAAGUUGAACAACUCGCUCAGUGCGUUCGAAAUUGUUCAGGAUGUUGCAGUUGAAAUACUAUCCGGACGAAGGCGGCUAUAAUUUCCGCUACUAUCCAGAUAUUCGAUAUUAUUACGAUGACAAGAUCCAACGUGUGAAUAGCGCCCUUUACGACUACCCUUAUAGAACACGCAUAUGGUUCCCCUAUAGAGGAUACCGGGUGUUUUGCGACUAUAUGCCCUCAGGAGUGCCAUUCGCCAUACAAAGAGUCAGCAAGCUGAUGUACUUUAACUACUACGACACCAAGAAGCACCUGCAUAUCAACUAAGAAUUGCCCAAUUUCAUCCUCUUUGUCUGCGGAACUUUGUACAUAUUUUUGAUGAGGUGCCAAAUAAAUGAAAUUUUCUGUUUUCCAA
Molecule: long non-coding RNA, 566 nt
Organism: Dendroctonus ponderosae (mountain pine beetle)
Lineage: Eukaryota; Metazoa; Arthropoda; Insecta; Coleoptera; Curculionidae
Exons: 4
Source: RefSeq, a predicted model, not a curated record